This is a long non-coding RNA of Daktulosphaira vitifoliae (grape phylloxera), 524 nucleotides long. RefSeq lists it as uncharacterized. Lineage: Eukaryota; Metazoa; Arthropoda; Insecta; Hemiptera; Phylloxeridae. The transcript has 2 exons. The record is from RefSeq and is a predicted model, not a curated record.
AUAAAUUAUUAAAUUAAAAUUAUUAAUUAAAUGUAGUUAGUAAUUAACUUUAUUCGUACAUAUGAGUAACAAUAUAUUUUAAGAUUUUUCUCCUAAUAUUGUACAAAUAUAUUAUAAGCAUUUAUAAACUAUUUUUUAUAAAAUACUUGUAUUCUGAGAAUUUUACAAAAUAUUUUAAUUCUUUAAAAGUUUAAAAAUUGGCUCCUUCAAAUCAAAUAUAAGAUGAAAAUACUAAUAAUUCAAUAAAAUAUAUUCUCACAGGUAAGAAUGAAAGUAAACCUUUGGUAAACGAAAAAGGCAAUCCGUAUGGUGACGGCAGUGCUGAUCUUGAUAUAAUUGAUGAUGAUCAAACUAAAGGUUCAGUUCCACUUUAAGAAUUUUCAAAAUAUAUGAUAUGAAAACAUUAAUUCAAUAAAAUUAUAAUAUUUUCAGUUAAAAAUCAAUUUAUAUAAAUUUCAAAAUUAAACUUGUUAUACAUUUUAUAAUGAUUUUGUUUCCAAAAUAAAAUUUCUCAUAACAGUCUA